RNAcentral lists this ribosomal RNA (281 nucleotides) under uncultured bacterium. RNAcentral's name for it is "partial 16S ribosomal RNA". It matches the Rfam family "Bacterial small subunit ribosomal RNA", at positions 524 to 794 of the family's 1533-position model. The record is from RNAcentral.
UACGUAGAGUAGCAAGGCGUUGUCCGGAAUUAGUUAGGGUCGUAAAGGGUACGCAGGCGGAGUAGUAAAGUCAAGCGUGAAAGGUGUCGGACUUAACCGACAGACUGCGUUUGAAACUGAUUAUCUUGAGUGUAACAGAGGAGAGUGGAAUUUCCUAGUGUAAGUGGUGAAAUACGUAGAUAUUAGGAAAGAACACCAGUGGCGAAGGCGACUCUCUGGGUUAACACUGACGCUGAGGUACGAAAGCUGGGGGAGCAAACGGGAUUAGAUACCCGUGUAGU